Gorilla gorilla gorilla (western lowland gorilla) is the source of this 117-nucleotide non-coding RNA. It matches the Rfam family "Metazoan signal recognition particle RNA". Rfam says of the family: The signal recognition particle (SRP) is a universally conserved ribonucleoprotein. It is involved in the co-translational targeting of proteins to membranes. NCBI's taxonomy places the organism in Eukaryota, Metazoa, Chordata, Mammalia, Primates, Hominidae. The record is from Rfam.
GCCGGGCAUGGUGGCUCAUGCCUGUAAUCCCAGCACUUUGGGAGGUUGAGGUGGGUGGAUCACCUGAGGUCAGGAGUUCGAGACCAGCCUGGCCAACACGGUGAAACCCCGUCUCUA